RNAcentral lists this ribosomal RNA (468 nucleotides) under uncultured bacterium. RNAcentral's name for it is "partial 16S ribosomal RNA". It matches the Rfam family "Bacterial small subunit ribosomal RNA", at positions 28 to 507 of the family's 1533-position model. The record is from RNAcentral.
GACGAACGCUGGCGGCGUGCUUAACACAUGCAAGUCGAACGGAAAGGCCCUGCUUUUGUGGGGUGCUCGAGUGGCGAACGGGUGAGUAACACGUGAGUAACCUGCCCUUGACUUUGGGAUAACUUCAGGAAACUGGGGCUAAUACCGGAUAGGAGCUCCUGCUGCAUGGUGGGGGUUGGAAAGUUUCGGCGGUUGGGGAUGGACUCGCGGCUUUUCAGCUUGUUGGUGGGGUAGUGGCUUACCAAGGCUUUGACGGGUAGCCGGCCUGAGAGGGUGACCGGCCACAUUGGUACUGAGAUACGGCCCAGACUCCUACGGGAGGCAGCAGUGGGGAAUAUUGCACAAUGGGCGGAAGCCUGAUGCAGCAACGCCGCGUGCGGGAUGACGGCCUUCGGGUUGUAAACCGCUUUCGCCUGUGACGAAGCGUGAGUGACGGUAAUGGGUAAAGAAGCACCGGCUAACUACGUG